This 465-nucleotide ribosomal RNA is filed under the name Vreelandella stevensii. Its description in RNAcentral is "partial 16S ribosomal RNA". It matches the Rfam family "Bacterial small subunit ribosomal RNA", at positions 338 to 795 of the family's 1533-position model. The record is from RNAcentral. Lineage: Bacteria; Pseudomonadati; Pseudomonadota; Gammaproteobacteria; Oceanospirillales; Halomonadaceae.
CCUACGGGUGGCUGCAGUGGGGAAUAUUGGACAAUGGGGGCAACCCUGAUCUAGCCAUGCCGCGUGUGUGAAGAAGGCCCUCGGGUUGUAAAGCACUUUCAGUGAGGAAGAACGCCUGGUGGUUAAUACCCAUCAGGAAAGACAUCACUCACAGAAGAAGCACCGGCUAACUCCGUGCCAGCAGCCGCGGUAAUACGGAGGGUGCGAGCGUUAAUCGGAAUUACUGGGCGUAAAGCGCGCGUAGGUGGCUUGAUAAGCCGGUUGUGAAAGCCCCGGGCUCAACCUGGGAACGGCAUCCGGAACUGUCAAGCUAGAGUGCAGGAGAGGAAGGUAGAAUUCCCGGUGUAGCGGUGAAAUGCGUAGAGAUCGGGAGGAAUACCAGUGGCGAAGGCGGCCUUCUGGACUGACACUGACACUGAGGUGCGAAAGCGUGGGUAGCAAACAGGAUUAGAUACCCUUGUAGUC